Molecule: ribosomal RNA, 497 nt
Filed under: uncultured bacterium
Lineage: Bacteria
Description: partial 16S ribosomal RNA
Rfam family: Bacterial small subunit ribosomal RNA
Source: RNAcentral
GAUGAACGCUGGCGGCGUGCCUAAUACAUGCAAGUCGAGCGAACGGACGAGAAGCUUGCUUCUCUGAUGUUAGCGGCGGACGGGUGAGUAACACGUGGAUAACCUACCUAUAAGACUGGGAUAACUUCGGGAAACCGUAGCUAAUACCGGAUAAUAUUUUGAACCGCAUGGUUCAAAAGUGAAAGACGGUCUUGCUGUCACUUAUAGAUGGAUCCGCGCUGCAUUAGCUAGUUGGUAAAGUAACGGCUUACCAAGGCAACGAUGCAUAGCCGACCUGAGAGGGCGAUCGGCCACACUGGAACUGAGACACGGUCCAGACUCCUACGGGAGGCAGCAGUAGGGAAUCUUCCGCAAUGGGCGAAAGCCUGACGGAGCAACGCCGCGUGAGUGAUGAAAGUCUUCGGAUCGUAAAACUCUGUUAUUAGGGAAGAACAUAUGUGUAAGUAACUGUGCACAUCUUGACGGUACCUAAUCAGAAAGCCACGGCUAACUACGUG